Non-coding RNA from Bactrocera oleae (olive fruit fly), 1311 nucleotides. NCBI's taxonomy places the organism in Eukaryota, Metazoa, Arthropoda, Insecta, Diptera, Tephritidae. The record is from RefSeq and is a predicted model, not a curated record.
UUUUGUUGACAAUAUUACAAACUUCAAGUUGAAGUUUUUUGUUUUCGAAAUUUAAUUAAAAGUUGUUGCUCCCACCUUAAAUUUUCUAUGAUGCAACUUUUGCACUGCUAGCGUAGUAAUUUAUUAGAAAGUUCCGGUUUUUUAAGUACAAUAAGUAAGUAGUCAUAAUUAAGAGCUGUGCUGAAAUUUAAUUUUACCCAUUGUGUGGCUAUAGGGUUCAAUUCUAUAUUGGACGCUUUCGAUUCACCACUUUCUUCCUCGCUUUGAUUGGUCUCUGCUCUUUAUUCAAAAGCUUGGUAUGUGUCAGCAACAACAAAAUUAUCCAACUACAGAUACAAAAGAAGAGAGCACAUGGACAUCUCAUUAAAGUAGUACAAUCGCUGUUCUAUCUUCAUCUGAUAAUGCAAGUCUACUUGAUUAAUACUAGUGUUUGUUCGAUUCGUUAGUCUACAAGUUUAUAAUCAAGAUCCUGAAGAAGUUACACCAAAAAAAUGCAUGAGUAGCUGGAUUAUACAUGAACUUGGUAUAGCUUCGGUCAGGUAAGAUGGCUCAACAUGGCGUGGGAUCACACUAAAACUGUUAUAUACAGUCCUUUGUAAAGCCAAACGAAAAAACACCUGUAGUUGGCUCUCAGCUAAGGAGUCUAGACAUCCUUUCAAAAGUCUUGAGCGCACAGUCUGCGAACUCAAAGCUAACAUCGCUACUUGCUCUACUAUCAGAGUGGAUAAUAUCCCUUUAUACUUUUAUGGCAGCCACCGCCGUUUGGAAGACACUGCAGUGGUCAGGAAUCCUAAAACAAGAGCUGAUAGAAAGUUCCUGAGAGUUUACUUCUUCACUAACCCCUGAACGUGGUAUACUCUCUUAAAUAAACUAAACUCUAAAAUAUUCUAACGGAGUGUUCAAUGGGAGCGCCUAUUUCUUGACAUGAUUUACAAACCAAAAUUUCGUCCCAAUAAAGUGAAGUGAUUCAACUUCUUUUGUUUUUAGUUUUAAAAUAGGUGUUCGAAUCGGCUUUUAAUCCUCUAUUGUCUACACUUUUCUUUUAAAUGAUCCUUUUCUUGAAGUCUGUGGGCCGGAAAAAGUGCCCUACACUGUAGCUGUUUGCUAGCACAUUUCGAUAGCAUAAGAGAGACCUGAAGCUUAUUCUUACAACUUGCGUAGUUAGUAUUGUGUAUCCAACAAAAUUUUCACAGAAAUCCCGGCAAAACAAAACCACUUUCAUUCAGGUCUAACCUUUUUUAAACAAAAUUAUCUCAUAUGUUUUUCGAAAACUUGAAAAAUUGUUUUCAUACCAAAGAAACUAAAAGCAAC